RNAcentral lists this transfer RNA (62 nucleotides) under Sinergasilus polycolpus. RNAcentral describes it as "tRNA-His". Lineage: Eukaryota; Metazoa; Arthropoda; Copepoda; Poecilostomatoida; Ergasilidae. The record is from RNAcentral.
UAUCUUAGGUCUAAAGACAUCUUUAACUCCACAAAUUAACGUUUAACUUAAACUUCAAAGAU